GGAGAGAUGGCAGAGCGGCCGAUUGCACCGGUCUUGAAAACCGGAGACUCCGCAAGGUGUCCCAGGGUUCGAAUCCCUGUCUCUCCG
Molecule: transfer RNA, 87 nt
Filed under: Planctomyces sp. SH-PL14
Lineage: Bacteria; Pseudomonadati; Planctomycetota; Planctomycetia; Planctomycetales; Planctomycetaceae
Rfam family: tRNA
About the family: Transfer RNA (tRNA) molecules are approximately 80 nucleotides in length.
Source: Rfam by way of RNAcentral